This is a long non-coding RNA of Pseudopipra pipra, 11029 nucleotides long. RefSeq lists it as uncharacterized. The transcript is spliced from 11 exons. Lineage: Eukaryota; Metazoa; Chordata; Aves; Passeriformes; Pipridae. The record is from RefSeq and is a predicted model, not a curated record.
UUCCUAAAAAAAAAAAAAAAAAAUAAAAAUUAAAAAAAAUCUUAACUUAAACCACUAUCAGGAUACACACUGCAUUGUGGACUAAUAUUAACUCAGAGCAGGAUAAAAAUGCCAUUGGCUUAUUCUAGAAUAGCCUUUAGUCUGGGAGCUGUGCUGAUCCAUUCAGGAAAACGCUGCUUUUGAACAGCUCGUUCAGAAACAAGUGGGAGUUUUCUUGGACUGUGAGUUGGAGGAUGUCUGCCCAGUGAAUGAAACAUGAUAGGUGGUCCCUCUUUUCCUCCUUCUGCUUCCUGGCUCUGUUCCUUCUACUGUUAACUGGAUGUCAGACUGGGAUAGCUGGGUAUUGUGGUCUGGUCUGAUUAAUCCAAAGCUGCUAGACUCAAAAUGAUAAAGUCUCAAAGUUGUGGAAUAACCAGGAAAACCGGGUAGAUUCCCACUGUUCUGACUCUGAGUGAAUCCCUUUCCACCCAGUUUGGAUACAUAAUCUGUUUUCAUUUUUGUAAUCACAACAUCACUGAAGCGAUUUGCUCUCUCUAUUUUUAUACAGCUUCCACAGUUUACUACAGAAAUGGCUGUAUUUCUCUGGAGGUCUGAUGUUUCCUGACAGCAUCCCUUUGUCUGAAGGAGUGAGUGGGUAGGAUAGUUAAAUCCCAAAAUAGAUCACUCCAGGGGAGCACAAAACCUCCAUCACAGAGACAGACAGAUGUCUGCAAGAAACAAUCAGGUAAUUUGGGAGGGAAAGGGAGUGACAUGGUCUCUGGCAGUCCCUUUCACUCCUAUUUUUUAUUGUCCUAAAAGAUGGAAAGUUUUACCCCAGGAGAGUGUACCUGGUGUCCAGGUUUGCAGUCAAGGUGACCAGCUCAAAGGAGAGAGAACAAUACAGGCAGGAAAACUUUCUGAUCUUGAAUAAGAACUCUUAACAUAAGCCCAAGUGUUUUCCAAGCAAGUGUCCUUAAUAUUUUUCCCUGUGGUAGUAAGGAUUUUUUUAUUUUUAAAGUGGAGCUGGAACCAAAUAUCAUUGAAUCAAAGAAGCCAACAUUAAUCAAAGCACAUCAAAGAUGUUCCUCAUCAGUUGCCUGGAGCAACAGAAUCUACAGUACAUCAUCUUUCUUAUGCUAAGCUGGAGGAAUUCAGAGAAGAGAAUUCUGUCUGUUUGCUCUCAAAUGAACACAGAAAUAGUAUUUUCAAAGUUUCUUUAAUAGUUCAGUGAUUUGGUCCCUUCAGCCAUCAUAAUUUCCGAGUCCACACUUAGACUUCCCAGGAAUGUUUUUAGUAAGAAAAUCAAUCAAACGAGCCUUUAAAACUAAAUAGGUGGUGAGCUGCCUCUCCAGACAAAGUCACAGGAAGCGCUUCCCUCUCUUACGUUGUCUCUUCUGUUCCUUCUCUCUCUCCAGGUCAUGAUAAUGGUACCCCAUGGGCCUUUGUUGCCUCACUACGGAUGCAUUUUACUCUUAUUUCACAGUACCUACAAGGAGCAAGCAACUCCACUGGAUAAACACACAUGGUUUCCUGUUCAAGUAACAAAUUUUGUCCUUAGUUUAAUAUUUUCUGGUGUUCCCUGAUACAGAAAUUAGAGCUGCUUAUAUUUGCUGUCUGCUUCCAGAAGAUCCAGUUGCUACCUAAAAAACUCGUGGACACUUGAGUACAACCAAGGCAUAAACAGGCCUGAAUUUCAGCUCUUUGCUGGAUUGAUUCUUACACCUGAGCACUUGAUAAAACACUGAGUAGCAAAACCUCUUUGUCCAGCCUGAGGACAGCACUGGUAGACACCCAACCCUUUCAUGUGGGCAGAAAUGAAAUGCAGCAACAUGUGCGUGUGUGACCAACCCGCAGAAUCACCGAGGUUGGAGCUGCGUUUUUAUGGUUUUCUUUUUCUUUACUAACGAGUCCCAGGGCAUUUUGCAGAAUGCACAUUGUAGCCACGGGCUGAGCCCUGUGCCCAGCUCGGGGCCGGGACGUGUUGGCAUUUCAGCGCCAGCGACACUUUGCUCUGGUUGUUACAAGAGGAAGCGAAGAACAGAAGUUCCCCGUCUGAAACCGUGGGGGGAAAUUUAGUGUGGUAGAAUGUAAUUAUCCAAACUGGAACAUGGCCAGGAUCCUGGAGUUAAUAACACCCUCUGCUCUUGCAAAAAGUGUCAUAGGAUCUUUAAUGACUGUUAGUGGUCAGCGGGCUUCACAUCACAUCUCCAGGGCUGAUAUUGAACAGAUCAGGAGUGUGGGUAUUCCCGUCUGUCGUGUAACACAAAUAUCUGCAUGGCCUGUGGCUGCAGCCUUCAGGCUGAGGAGAGAACUGAGCUGAACAGCCAGGGAGGAGACAUUAGUCUUAAUGAAAAUGAUCCCAUUAAAGGCAGAUGACUGCAGUUGGUGAAGAACAGCUGAGAUGUUCACUGAAGUGCCCAUAAGGUAGUAUUUGGGGUCCACCAAAUCACCAAAUCUUCAGUGACCAUCAACAUUGUGUAGUUUGGAGGAAUGGAACAAAAAAAGGUUUACAGCAUCCUCUGUGUAAUAGGAUCAACUCCUGUGGAAAUCUGUAGUAUGAAUUUACCCUGAUUUCUGUAGUACUGGGAACUAUGUGCAAAUGAGUUGGGAAGUGGGUGUAAGUGGUAAGAUUGCGUUGUGCUAAUUAGCCUGGCAUUGAUGAACUGUACAAAGCCUGGGAACUUCCACAGCAGGAAAGAGAGCACAUCACAGAGAAUCCCUUUCGUCACAACUGACUUGUGCCACGGGACUUCAAUUAAAAACCAGACCAGGCCACUUUUAAUCGCUUUAAUGAGAAAUUACUUUUUUAAAAAAGAUAAUCUUUGUUAAGCUGUCUGUCUUCUUCUAGCAGUGCAGCCCGUCAUGAUGGGAGAUGAGGUGCUAAUUAUCUGUCUUGGCUGCUUUUUCUGAUCACAAGGUUUGUUAUUCUAUCCUGCACCUGGCACCACAGGCUCUGGUGUUUGGGAUCAGUGGGCAUUACUACAGUGCCAGCUGUAAUAAAGAGUAGAAGGCCAACGAUCCUGUAUGUUGUUAAAAUGAAGAAAGACUUGCACAGUUCUCCCCCUUUGUACAUCCCAGUACAUUGGUACUUACACCAUAACAGUAUUAUCUCAGGGAAUAUAAGUCUGCUACAGGAUAUUGCCACUUUAACCACCUGAACUGCCUUUUAGUUCCAGUUUCAACUCAGUGUCAAAAAUAUUACCCUGUUUAAGAUUAAUUUGUGACAAAAUGUCAUAUUAAUACAGCUAUAUUUCCCAGGGGAUAAAUAUGGCCUUUUGAAGAGCAGCCAUGGCUGAGUGCUAUAUAGGACUAUAGAGAAUUAUCAACAGGCUUUUGCCUUAGCAAAUGUCAUGCUACCAGAAGAAUGGAGCAGUUUGCAGGCAUGAAAUUGGAUUAACAUGAAGAUAAACUUAGACUUUAAAUCUGUUGAGGAAAUCAGUAAUUAUGUCAAAAUUCACAAAUAGUAAUCUGUUUAACUGUGGCAGGAUACUGCUCAUCUAUCAGCAAAACAUCCUGACUUGUCAGAAUUCCAUUGAAAGUGGCAUCCAGCCAGUACCCUCUCAUGAGGAAGAAUCAAUUUGCAAGGUAUUGAGUAAGUCCUUGGGCUAUGCUGUGGAGAGGUGACCACCCAUGAAAGCCACUGACAUGAAAAAAAUGCAAGAAUCAUAUAGACCAGCAUGAAUUGGGACUUGGACAACAAGAGCCUUGGACCACAAGGACAUCAGAUACCCACAGAAACAAGGACUCAGAUACCUGGAGAGAGCUGGGGAGGAUUUCUAGGCUGUAUCCUCCCCUGGCUCCUUCUGGACCUACAGUCCGGACUGAGGAAUUGAUGUACCAGUGGAGAUGUGUUUGCUGGAGGAAUUGUUCCUGAGAUAUGGUUUCCUGAGGGUCACAACACAUUCCAUUCCUGGGAGAGUGAUGGGCACAUCUCAGCUGGCUAAUCAAAAGUGGUCUGCAGAAGGCCUCAGUGACUUGGAUGGCAGUUCUGAGACUCCCCCAGCCUCAGCAAACUUUUCUGAUCCAAGGAACAAAAAAAAACAAAGAUGUGUCACAAGCCUGACUGGAUAUGGGAGCUGGGAAGACAGAGCUCAUUCAUCAAGAAGCCUGGAAGUCUCCCAGGGAAAGGUGGAAAACAAAUUAGUGUCUCAUCUUGAAGCUCCUAUAGGUUGUCCAGGACUGAACCGUUCCAAGGGAGAUAAUUCCAGAAGUCAUUCACACCUGGGCUGCAAAUUCAAUACUGCAUUCAGGUGACAAAGGGAACGUGAUUGCUGAGCUACUCAGAAAAUUGGAAAUCAAAUUGGCCGUGAUGGUUGGUCUAUGUGGUCUCCUUUUGGAAUCAACAAGAGGGAGAAGAGAAUGAAGGACAGGAAAAUGGAAGUGUGUCCUGCUGUAUGGAAGACGAGUUUAUGUAGCCAGAGUUUGUAAGGGGGGAAGCAAAUUUCAUGUUAUGCCAGCUCUGAUUCCUGAGGCCUCGGGGAACGCUCACCUUGAGGAAUGAGUUGUACUUCACUGGAAAUUUGCUGUUGCAAAGAGAGACUCUUAACCCUGUCCCAGUGGUGAAGACUGUUUAUAUUGCAGCUGGGCCCCAACAGCCUCAGAGAAGGUUGUGGUGCAUCACAUGCUGGGAGAAAGUCUGUGACUGGAGAGAAUUCAUAGCUUUUCUGAGUGAAAAAGGACAAAAAAUGUGUGUGUGGGACAAAACAGCUGGGAAGAAUUUUGUGUGAUCCAUGGCACUAUGUUUCCAUCCAGAGAACAGAACUCACAUGUCCAGGACUUCAGCAGCCUUACCCUUGCAUUUUAAACCCUUUAAACAGAGAGAACAAUGCAGAAAAUCCCAGAGGACACAUGAGAAAGGGGGUUGUACCUAAUCCUUUUAUAAUUUCUUUGCAUUUACUUGCUAACAAAAUAUAUUUUUCUUUAGAAUGACCUCUGAGAUUUUAUACUAUGGGGUAUUUGGUUUAAAAUGUACUGUAACCUUCUUCUUUUUUAAAAUUGAUCAGAUCAGCCUUGAACACUCAAAGAAAAAUCUGCCUGCUCUGAAUAUUGCCUGAGGAUUUAGAAAGGUCUUUCUUGGAAACAGAAGAACAAGAUGAAACAAUUAUCUGUAAAGCAUGGAGCCAAUGGAUGUGGGAGCAAUGGAAACCCUCUGAUCACUUACUCUGGAAGGGCUGAUUGUCAGCCACACCUCGACGGCAUCUGCUUGGAGAUAUAAUGAAGAAAGAUUAUCAUUGCUAAUACACUAAAAAAAUCUUGCUGUCUCUGUGAUGGGCCUUAUUAGCACCCAGAGGAGCUGGUGUGAGCUGAUGGCAGUAACAUGUGUGCUGCUCUGGAAAUCUCAGCUUGAGGAGAAGGAGAUGGCAGAGCUGGCCCUGGGAUAAAUCUGCUGGAUGUCCAGGUCUUCCCUCAAAAGUGGAAACAGGAAGAAGAAAUCAACUGUCAUUUGGGAGGCAGGACCUUGAUAGAGAUUCAUCAUCUCCCUCCUGGCUCAGGUGAGUGGUGUGGUCCAUUUUGUCACCUCUUUCCCCAGUGUAGCAGGUUCUCUGCCUUAGUCAUUCUGUACUAUGGUUAUAAGGUUGUUCUGAUGUAUUUAGAUCUACAAACUACACACUAAAGAUAAUCUUGUCUAAAGGAAACACAAAAGAAUAUCCUCUAAAAUUAAUACAUGAGAGAAAUAUCAAUUAGGGCACAUAUCCUUCAAUCCUUAUGGGUAGGAGACCCAUAAUUAAUUAUUAUAUUAUAUAUUAUUACAUAAUAACAAUAGGUGGGAGCGGGUCCUGUUUGAUCAAUUUGUUUGGUUAUUACCCAUAACCAAUUCUUGGUUAUAGACAGCUGAGGGAACUAAAACAGUGACAGAUGAAGGCAAAAUUCCCAGAUGAGAAAAGAAAUAGAGACCUGUAUGUGUUCAGAAGUGGCAGAGUACAGGUAUUUCUUGACAUUGCAGCCCUUUAUCUUAGACACACCAAACCAGAGAUGAACAGCACAAUGUAGGUUUGACACUUUUAUUAACAAAGAACCCAUGGGGCUCAUUCAUUAGUACAAAAUACAAUCAUGUUCCUGUAUGUUAAACAGCUUUUUUUUUUUUUUUAUUUUGUCUCUUUUAAACUGUUUCACAGUUAUCAAAACAAAGCCCCUGCAUAUCGAACUUAUUAUUGUGCAAACAGUAAUUAUUUUUAAGGAUCAAUUUCUGCGCUAAGCCAAGUGCCAGAGAGCAGAAUUUAAUCUUGUUUUCACCCCUCCUUUGAAGGGCCAUGUGUGCUUCCUAAGAAACACAUAAUAGUUGACUUUUUUUUGCAGCAAACAAUCUAAGGCCACAGUUUAUCUGCAAAGAAUAAAAAAACAACUCAAAGAUUUUAAAGGAAAAAAAAAAAAGCACAUCUUUACCCUUCAUUCUCUUGUUUGCUUGACCAUGAUUAUACCAGGUAGCACACAUCACCUAUCAGGUAUUACAGUCCAAAAAAGCACCUAAUGUUCUUUAAGCUAAUUUUCUGAAUUAUUAACAUGCAAGUUAAUACACAGCAACAUUACUUUUCAAGUAACUAUAAUGGUGUCUGUUUAAGGAAAAGAUGCUUAUUCCCUUUCCAGGUGAUGUGAAUGAAAAUCCUGCAUUGAUUGUAUGGGCAGGCCCUCACUUAAAAAGGCAUGAGAGCUACAUCUUGAAACUUAAAUACUUAUUUUUAGAAUGUCCUUUCUAAAACAUGCACUCAAAUUUUGGUUAAAGCUGCAUUUGCUAUAGAAGACAAUACUUAAUGUUGCAAAUGAAAAAAAAAAAAUAACUGCAGUUUGGAAACAUGGAUCUCCAUCAGUCUGUCUUUCACACUGAUGCAAAAGUGAUUUUGAGGUGAAGUGCUAGAAAUUAGACAAUGUAAGGAAGUCAUACUAAAAAUAUAUACGUGUGUAUGCCUGUAGAAAAAUCCCUGCUUCUUAUAUGAAGACAGAUUUCAUAAAAAACCAUUUAAACUUUCUUUUAACUGCAGUUACUGAUGAAAUGAAGGAAACUCAAUUACUGGUUUUGUAGUUAUCAGAAAGUACAAUGUUUUACCACAUGAAGCACCGGGUUUUAACCCCAAACCCUUCUGUAAGACAUAUGGAGUAGUUCUAAUAGUCCAAAAUCCCCUGUACUUUAAAGACAGGACUGUAAACGUGCGUGCUGACAAUGCUGUGUUUCUGCUCCUGUAAGUGAUCUGUUGGUGGUGGUUUAUUUAUCCCAAUUGAUGCUUGGCAGGAAGCAAACAUUCUACUUUUAAAGGAAGGCAGCAGAAGGGCACGUAAAUGCUGUGCCUUCACUCUUAGCAGCAACAAACUCUCACUGUUCUAAAUGACCUGAGGAAGAAAACAUUAUAAUAUUGCACCAAAACAAAAUUAAACAGCAAAAACAAACAAGGAAACAGACCAACAUAUAUAGUAUGGAUAGCAAAUGACCAGUGCAGCCCCUGACAAUAGAUCUUUUAGACAAAAAUGCAGGAGUAAUGAAAAGCUUUGUGCCAUUACCAGAGGACUUUGUUCCCCUGAUAUCUGCUUUCACUUCAGUUAUAAGCUAUGUCUAUUCUGGGUAUAUUUACACCUCUCCCUACGCCUCUUAUCUCAUUCACUAACCACAGAAACCAUUUAGGGUCCCUUUUAGAACCUUGAAGUAUACUGGAGCUUUAACAAGACUUUUUUUGGUCUCAAAUCUGACCGUAAGUAAAUAUCCAAAACAGAGGUAGGCUUAUAAAGGCUUUUGAAUAAAUAAGUAUUGUCCAUUUUGCUAAGUAUACCUGCUGUUGGCAGAAGGAUUCUCCCUUGCCAUGCUUCCCCUUAUCAUGCUAUCCAUAGGCUUAAGAUGCAAAAGAAGAACUCACAGUAGAAGAGGCUAGAAUAAUUCCCUUAAGAAAUCCCUUGAAAGAAAGCAUAGUGCAUAAGCUUGUAUCAAAGUCCACUUUUCUCUUCCAUACUUGUGUCUCUCACUCAGGAAAUGGUUGCCUUCAUAGUAUUGCAUAAUAGCUACUCUGUCAUCUGUGGUGCCUUCAGGAUUGUUAGGAGUGAUGAAAUAGUACCACUUGGCAGUCGUGAGAAGGGCAGGUUCUCAUGAAAUACAAAUUCAAGACUUCACCUUUUAGUAGUGUUCCUUUCCUGGAUGCAGACAGUGCAAAGCUGAAGCCCCUUGAACACUGGAAUCUUUUUUGGAAAUGUUUUCUUACCCCACAUUCUGUUCUACUACUCAAGUUCUACUACAGAAGUUCUCAACAUCAUUAUGUACAUUCUUCCAGAGUGUUCCAAACAAAAUAUAAAUUCUUUUCUUCUCAGAAGAUCCAUACAUCUCCUCCUCGUACUUUGUGUAGUGUGUCCACUUUUGGGAAAACAUUCAGUAUUUCAUUCAUUCAUUUUCAUUUCAGCAUUUUCAGGUACUUCUCAAGUAUCCCAAGCUUGGCUGCUCCCACGUUACUCCUCUGUGCAGACUAAUCCAGCAGAUUCUCUUUUAUCACCAAACGUGCUCAUACCUCCUGCUCCAUUUUCCUUUGCCUUUCUCGUACACAAACUGAAGUUUUGAAAAAGAAAACUGUUUCCUUUUUAGCUGCACUACCAGCUUAAGCAGCAGAAAGAUUAAGACAUUCAUCACAAUGAUGCUUGUUACAAAUCCUCUUCAGAGCCUGAACGAAACGGGCUGAAUUUCUUCUACAUCAGUUGGAUGCGGAUCAAUCUAGGGAGAGAAGAAAGGCAACAAUUACUGCCUGCAAUUCCUGCAUUUAAGUAUGUGUUUUGGUUUGUUGUUCUUUUUUGCCAUCUGACAAUAAAAACACCACCUGCUAUUUAUUUUUUUACCUCUGAAUAAAGAGGUGGAGGCUGAAACCGGAACUCUUGUAUAUAAGCAAAGACAGGACAACACAACUGUUCCUCGCAGUCAAUGGGUGGUGGAUAAGCAGGAACAUGUCUGGAAAACUCUUCCUCAGACACUACAUCAGCAUAAUUUGGUGGUGCUGAAACAUAAGAGAUGCUACUGUCAAAUUUCAAACUAUUCACUCACAGCAAGACAAUAUCUGUAGUACAGUAUAUCCAAACCCAUGAAAACUAUUUAUAAAACAUUGUACAACUGUCAGAUUGUAUGAAGUGCAUUAAACUCAUACAUAUUGUAACUAAAAUUAUGUGUUCAGUAAGCUUAGGUGAUUCAGCAGGAAUACAGAUGCUUUUAGGGCAACUCCAGCAACAAGCCUGUGCUGUAUCAAGAUAUGUUCAGUAAUGAAUAAAUUAAGUUCCUAAGCAGAAUUCCCACUAUCAAAAUUUAGUUAUUUCAGUCAGAUCAGGGUAAAGAUAAACUUAAGGAAGGCUGGAGUUAGGGUAACCUCACCCAAUUCUUUUGGACCUGAGACUUCUCCUGAGUCAUACUUCCAUGGCCUACAUCCCUACAGUGCCCAUAAGUUGGCACUACACCCAUCUGCUGCAGACAGUGCUGUGCUGGAUAAAGAGAGUUCAAUAUGUGUUACCUUCAGGGUGUUCAGGCAUGGUCAGUGCCAGCCAACUCAUAUCCAUACUAAACUGGCUGGUAAUGCUGGAGUUUCUGCUUGAAAAUCCAAUACAUGGAAUAGUGCCAAUCACCAGAGGCAUUUCAAUCAUCAAUUUCUUAGCACCAGGAAUAUGGAUAUACACCUAUGUGACAACCCCCAAACAAAAGAAAAAAACAUCAUGAGACCCCACUGAAUGCUCCUAAAGGCUGCCCUACUCCCUACACUGCAAAUUGUCUAAGAAUUAAGAGCUUUCUGAUCCCAGAUAUGUUCAGCUAAUACCCUGGCAGCAUUCCUUUCCUUCUUUCUGUAACUUGUCUCUAGGUGACAUUUAAAAACAUCUUGACAAACGUAAUUAUGCACUUGAUUUUCAGUCUUCCCACUUCUGAAAAGAAUCACCAGAGGAACCCAUUCAGCUUGAACUACUUUCCCAUAAAAACCUCUGCAGGUCUCAAACUAAGCUGCUUCUUCCUUAGAAAUAUAUUUCCAUUUUCCCUGUUAUUCCCAUCUUUCCAUCUCAGAAUCUCUUCAUGAUCUUCAGUUUCUCAUCUAUAUAUAUGGUUUAUGAUAUUUAUUUAUCAUAGAAUGGUUUGGGCCCUUAAAGAUGUAGUUCCAACCCCCCUGCCAUGAGUAGGGACACCUUUCUCUAGAUUUAUAUUUGUCAUCCCCAAAUUAAAAACCUAACAGCUACUUGGUAAAUUCUUCUGUUCCCAACUCAAUCCAAAGUUUGUACAUUUGAAUAACCAAUACUUACAGCUAAUGAAUAUUCUACUCUAAUAAUGCAGCAGUCAAGUAUAGAGGGGGAUACAGGUGGGAUUUUCAGAGUUUUCCCAUUCCAGGUAUCUGUACUCCCAGAGGCAAUGUGGUUUCCUCGGACAUUGGCAACCAUCUGACGGAAGGUUUUUGUCUUCCCACUGGCCAGCUGGCUUUGAAGGGGGAGGAGGAGCGGAGGAAGGACCCUCUUACCAAGAGAGCUGGUGAGCUGACGUCGAUAUGGCUGAUGACCUGGAGCUCUGUCUGCACACUCUGAUCGGGAGCUGCAGGCCUCUCCAGGAUGGCUUUCACAUAGUACUGAAUACUGCCAUACUUCCCAGUAAAAGAGGUCACCAGAGGUCUGAAACAAGCAGUCACAAAACCAUUACCCUUAAUUAAUAAUUCAGUUCCAAACGUGAGCACUUCCCGCGUACACGAACAUUUAACCAAUUUACAGCUCAUACUUUUAGGGCCUGGGGGAAACUGAAGCCAACAAGGCCUGUCUGUGGGGUCUGAUUAAGAGAAACAUAUAAAGCUGAUACUAAAAAAAACACAAGUCAAAUUACAUUAAGAUAAUGUUGCACUACAAGCAGCGUCCAGCACAAUCCCUUCAGGUUGGAUUAUUUAACUUACUCUUGAGGGAGCUGAAAGCUGAACGGAAAUUCGUGUCUUCCAUCUAGAAGAAUUAAGUUUUCCUCACCUGUAGGAUGAAAAUGAAUAGUAUGUUUUAGUUAUUCCAGAAAUAGAACAAAGCAGAUGCUUUUAUAAGUUAUUUAUGUAUAAGAACACCCAGAUACAAGAAGUUUUUAUUGAUCCCA